UUGUUAGUUGCCAUCAUUCAGUUGGGCACUCUAGCGAGACUGCCGGUAAUAAACCGGAGGAAGUGGGGAUGACGUCAAAUCAUCAUGCCCCUUAUGACCUGGGCUACACACGUGCUACAAUGGUUGGUACAACGAGUUGCGAGUCGGUGACGGCGAGCUAAUCUCUUAAAGCCAAUCUCAGUUCGGAUUGUAGGCUGCAACUCGCCUACAUGAAGUCGGAAUCGCUAGUAAUCGCGGAUCAGCACGCCGCGGUGAAUACGUUCCCGGGCCUU
This 272-nucleotide ribosomal RNA is filed under the name uncultured Streptococcus sp. RNAcentral's name for it is "partial 16S ribosomal RNA". It matches the Rfam family "Bacterial small subunit ribosomal RNA", at positions 1108 to 1382 of the family's 1533-position model. The record is from RNAcentral. Lineage: Bacteria; Bacillati; Bacillota; Bacilli; Lactobacillales; Streptococcaceae.